Molecule: non-coding RNA, 180 nt
Organism: Hydrogenophaga sp. IBVHS1
Lineage: Bacteria; Pseudomonadati; Pseudomonadota; Betaproteobacteria; Burkholderiales; Comamonadaceae
Source: Rfam
AAGCGUCUGCAGUGCGCGCCGGGCUUUAUAUUUCCUUGAACCAAUGCUCAUAGAGCCCGGGCUUGGUACAUUGCGUGGCUGGUGCGAGCGUCUCGCGUCAGACGAACCCGAAGCCACGCUGCCCUCGCCCACCUGAACCCCGGUUCAGGAUGCCGGUCCGGCGGCACUUGCAGACACCCU